UUCUUUGUCGGCCUCUGAUCAAAGAGAGGAUAUAAAAAAAAUUCAAGAUGGAUUUCUGAAGGACAAUGUUGUACACAUUCCCUGUGUUUCCGAGCUGCGGUGGUUAGUUGAUUUUGGGGGGAAAAAUCUUUUUUCCCCCCUUUUGAUCCCGGGGAGAAAACACUCACACAAACACGUCUUGGCACCACAAACAUUGCAAGAUGGGCCCUUGUCUGUAGCCUCCCCGGCUGGCUGGCUGGCGGGUAGAAGGUGCUGGCUUCUCAUUUAUCAACAACACGAGAGAAUUUGGAAUACGACUCACUGCAGCGUGCAGACCCUUUCCUCCUUCUGCGGGCAUUCAAGGCGAGGUCACUGUCGUCUGGGGUGACUCAGGACCCAGGAUGCUCCCCCCGUGCCCAGAAACUGCCGGCCCGGCUGCCCCCUCCGUCUCCUUCACCCCCAGCCAUUAAGAGUACGUUUCUCCCUCACUCCUUCAGCCGUGGAGCAAAUGCAAAUAAAAAGCACUUAAAAUGGUUAACAUUUCCUGUCACUGAAGGCAUUCGUUAGGGGCGGGGGUCGCUGAGUUUUCAGUGUAUUUUCAUAGGAAAACUCAUUUCAGAUCUGCGGCAGGAACUCGGACAACUCACACAGCGGGCCUCGGGGUUUGCCGGGAGCCCGAGCCCUGAGUCAGCCGGGUGACCCUUUAUGUCAUGUGGGUACAGGAGAGCAAAUACCCGGCUUCACACUGAGGCCAACCUGGGGCCCAGCUCCGGAAAAAAUAAAAUAGGCUCUUGCCCACCCCCUCUCCCCUUGACGCAUUUUCUUUUCCUUUAUUGGAGAAACCCUCUCCCCCCAAAUUUGGUAAUUUAUUUUGUUGUGUUUCUCUAUUGAUCGUUUAGCUAGUGAGUUUGCUGGCUUCCUGGAUGCUCAUUUCUGGUUCUGCACAAAAGAGCCACAUUUCCUUUUGGAACCGGGACCAGGAGACAGACAGCAGCAGACAUUGGAAAUUGUUGUGAAGAUUUGAGACUGUGAACGCAAAGGCGGGGCCGAUAGAUCGUGCUGGAUAAAGGUCUCUGGGCCAGUCCCUGGAGCCCCGAAAUAAAUGGGCAGAGGGGGCUGCCUGGCAUCGCGUCUUGGCCACCUACCAGCCGGACACCCCAGCACUCUCGCGGCCCUGCUGCCAGCAUGAGACGUGGCUGUGCCGGCCUGAGGAAGGACGAAGAACGUGCAGCCCGCUCGCCCGGUCAGCGCCGUGGAGCUCCUGCACACGUUGGCCUGGUGGGAAGAUUGACCUUAUUUCCAUUCUCCUACUGAAAGUGACAACGCAGCCAAGUGCCACUUCUGGGCCAGGGGGACGCUGUGAUCAGAUGAGAGACAGGUUCACACCACUGCAGUGACCCUCUGGAAAAGGAAGCAACCGGGCAUUUCCUCUGCACAUUGUCUUUCUGCAAAAUUACGAGUAAGGAAUAUUUGUACUGGAUUGAUUUUCCUUCCUUGCAUGCCAGCAAAAACUUGCUAAGUUUAAGAGAAAUGGAGAAAAAGUCUGCAUUAUUACAUUUUAAUGGGCAAUCAUGUUCAAGCAAACCAAAGUGCCUGAUGACUUCCCCAGUCCCACAUCUGCCCAGGGGCCAUAACCACCCACACACCUAGAGGCCUGAGCUGUUCCGGGUCGCCGACUUUAGAACGUCAUGGUUAUCAACUGCUGCGGCUUACGCGGAUUAACUUCUGAACGCCGAGGCCGGUCCCGUUACUUGGGUUCGCGCUGUUUGCUCACGUGAAUCACAUCACACGCGCUGAUGCAUCAGGAAGUGGCUGGAGCCCGUACUCAGUGGAGAUGUUUCCAUCCCGGAGCUGAGGGGACAACUCUGGAGGCAGAACAUUCCAGUAAGGGAGUGACCCAGAAGGCAACGUCUCCAUCCAGCCAAGGCCUUCGCUCUCUCCUCGCACCGGAAGCAUGGCUGCAGACAGUCACGCGUUCAGAGAGGAGGCCCCUCCGGUGGGCACGGCGCGGGACGCGGCUCGGGCUUCCUGGAGCAGGUGUGCAGAGCGGGCCUCUUCUUUCCCGGUUCCGAUCCCGGCCGGAAUGCACUCGGGAGCACAGAGCAGCGGGAGCUCUCGGCGUUUAUUUAAAGAAGCCGAAAGGUUAAAACCACCCAGUGGUCCGCAGAGCGGAAGGACAGGCCCUUUCAAGCAGCCUGGCCCCGUGCGACCCGGGCCGUGUGGGUCUUCCAGUUCGUCGGCACACACACUCGUGUCUCCCGACUCCAGGCUACACGGCAGCGUGCUAGGCAAUGAGGCGAAACCGGGAGCCAGCAGCCCGUGGGGCCGGCUCUGUGCUCACAUCCCUCACACCCUCCGCAUACAGCUGGCGCCUCUCCCCACCGCAGGAGGUGGGCGUUGUCAUUAUCCCUCGCUUGCGGACGGGGAAACUGAGGCGUGGGGGACGGCGAGGCCUGGCAGCGUACGGGGCAGAGCUGGGGUUUGGAGCCAGGUUGUGCGGCCCCAGCGUCCAAGCUCGAGGCCGUCCGAGCUCACUUGCCUCCGCGAGACCUCGCUCCUGGGCUCUGCUCCAGACUGGCCUCCCCAGAGCCCUCUGCUCCUGCCGACAGGCAGGUUAGAAACGGACCCCGACCUCCGCCGUGGGAAGGGCCACCCCACACUCAUCACACUCAGAGCCCUGAGGUCCGACAGGUGAGGGGCUUCGUCUGAGGCCCCCCCCCGGCCAUGGCUCCCUGCGUCACUCCCGGCUGUGUCCCCAGAAAGCCCCCCGGAGCCACACGGAGGCACCGCCACACACGUGCAGAAUCGGAAUCACCAGGUUGCAACAGUCCAUCCCUCAAGUGCAGCCCGGCGGGGAAGCUCUUAGCUCUUUGGUCUCUGGACGCGGGAGACUGAGACACGAAAACCGCCAUCAGCUUCCCUUGUCUGUCUAGCAGGAUGGUUAUGGGACGAUGACAGCGUGCCUGCUGCGGGCUGGGUGUGCUCAGACUCCCCGCGUCCCCGGCCGCUCUGACCUCUCACCCAUUCCAAUGGAGGAAUCCCUUCCCCCACAUUUUACAGAAAAGGGAACAGACGCCCAGAGAGGUCUCAAGGCUGGCAAGUCCAAGAUCAAGGGUCACAGCAGAUGGGCGUCUGGUGAGAGCCCGCUUCCCGGUCCACGGAUGCCUGUCUUCUUUCUGUGUCCUCCCACGGCGGAAGGGGGAAGGGAGCUCUCUGGAGCCCCCUAUAUAAGGGCCCUGACCCCACCAAGGAGGCUCUGUCUUCAUGACCUGUCACCUCCCAAAGGCUCUGCCCACGAAAGCCAUCACAUGGGGCAUCGGGCUUCAACAUAUGGGGUGGGGGAGGGUGGCACAGACAUUCGG
Long non-coding RNA from Acinonyx jubatus (cheetah), 3341 nucleotides. RefSeq lists it as uncharacterized. The record is from RefSeq and is a predicted model, not a curated record. The transcript is spliced from 9 exons. NCBI's taxonomy places the organism in Eukaryota, Metazoa, Chordata, Mammalia, Carnivora, Felidae.